Molecule: ribosomal RNA, 480 nt
Filed under: uncultured bacterium
Lineage: Bacteria
Description: partial 16S ribosomal RNA
Rfam family: Bacterial small subunit ribosomal RNA
Source: RNAcentral
GACGAACGCUGGCGGCGUGCUUAACACAUGCAAGUCGAGCGGAAAGGCCCUUUCGGGGGUACUCGAGCGGCGAACGGGUGAGUAACACGUGAGUAAUCUGCCCCUGGCUUUGGGAUAGCCACCGGAAACGGUGGUUAAUACCGGAUACGACCACUUCUCGCAUGGGAUGGGGGUGGAAAGUUUUUCGGCCAGGGAUGUGCUCGCGGCCUAUCAGCUUGAUGGUGAGGUAAUGGCUCACCAUGGCUUCGACGGGUAGCCGGCCUGAGAGGGUGACCGGUCACACUGGGACUGAGACACGGCCCAGACUCCUACGGGAGGCAGCAGUGGGGAAUAUUGGACAAUGGGCGGAAGCCUGAUCCAGCAACGCCGCGUGAGGGAUGACGGCCUUCGGGUUGUAAACCUCUUUCAGCAGGGACGAAGCGCAAGUGACGGUACCUGCAGAAGAAGCACCGGCCAACUACGUGCCAGCAGCCGCAGUAA